This 234-nucleotide ribosomal RNA is filed under the name uncultured bacterium. RNAcentral's name for it is "partial 16S ribosomal RNA". It matches the Rfam family "Bacterial small subunit ribosomal RNA", at positions 99 to 334 of the family's 1533-position model. The record is from RNAcentral.
CGAACGGGUGAGUAAUGCAUAGGAAUCUGCCCAUUAGUGGGGGACAACUCGGGGAAACUCGAGCUAAUACCGCAUACGCCCUACGGGGGAAAGCGGAGGACCUUUCGGGGCUUCGCGCUAAUGGAUGAGCCUAAGUCGGAUUAGCUUGUUGGUGAGGUAAAGGCUCACCAAGGCGACGAUCCGUAGCUGGUCUGAGAGGACGAUCAGCCACACUGGGACUGAGACACGGCCCAG